UUAAAAACAAUUUAUCAAGGUGAGAUUAAUUUACAUUUGGAAAAACCAAGAUAAGUAGUAGUUAACUGCGCAUAAUUCAAAAAUAAGUGUUAAAUAUUUAUAUGUAUGUAGUCAUGAUACUUUUUUCAGCAAUACAGGUAUAAAAUCAACCAGCAAUUGAAUAAGGUUUAAAGAAAAGUGAUUUACACGUCGACAGAAAGAAAACAGUUUAUAUUUUUAGACUAGAGAAUUGUACAUGUACUUAAUCAGAAUUGACCGGUAUGUUGGAUACUCGAGUUCCUGUCUAUGCUAUACCAGUUGCCUUGUUUUCCUGGAUAGUUGCCCUUUUAACACCGGGAUGGAUAAUUUACCAAAAACUGAACGAAAAUAACUAUCAAAGUAUCUUUUAUACUGUAUCCUGUUCACGGGAAACCGCCUGCCUGUCAACCUUUUAGUUUAGUUUGCCCCUCCUUGAUAUUCAUUUUGCCAGCAUACUCUCUCUUCUUCUGUGCGGGGUCGGCUGUCGGAUUCUUUGGGCUUCCGUCAAAAAAUGGCGUUCAAACCCCAAAAAGGCUGUCAUAGGGGGAGUGUUAGUUCUAAUUGCAGCUACUUUCGAACACGC
Long non-coding RNA from Saccostrea cuccullata (small rock oyster), 601 nucleotides. RefSeq lists it as uncharacterized. The transcript has 4 exons. NCBI's taxonomy places the organism in Eukaryota, Metazoa, Mollusca, Bivalvia, Ostreida, Ostreidae. The record is from RefSeq and is a predicted model, not a curated record.